RNAcentral lists this ribosomal RNA (993 nucleotides) under Vibrio parahaemolyticus. Its description in RNAcentral is "partial 23S ribosomal RNA". It matches the Rfam family "Bacterial large subunit ribosomal RNA", at positions 549 to 1550 of the family's 2925-position model. Lineage: Bacteria; Pseudomonadati; Pseudomonadota; Gammaproteobacteria; Vibrionales; Vibrionaceae. The record is from RNAcentral.
CCUGAAACCGUGUACGUACAAGCAGUAGGAGCACCUUCGUGGUGUGACUGCGUACCUUUUGUAUAAUGGGUCAGCGACUUAUAUUCAGUGGCAAGGUUAACCAUCUAGGGGAGCCGUAGGGAAACCGAGUCUUAACUGGGCGUUCAGUCUCUGGAUAUAGACCCGAAACCAGGUGAUCUAGCCAUGGGCAGGUUGAAGGUUGAGUAACAUCAACUGGAGGACCGAACCGACUAAUGUUGAAAAAUUAGCGGAUGACUUGUGGCUAGGGGUGAAAGGCCAAUCAAACCUGGAGAUAGCUGGUUCUCCCCGAAAGCUAUUUAGGUAGCGCCUCGGACGAAUACUACUGGGGGUAGAGCACUGUUAAGGCUAGGGGGUCAUCCCGACUUACCAACCCUUUGCAAACUCCGAAUACCAGUAAGUACUAUCCGGGAGACACACGGCGGGUGCUAACGUCCGUCGUGGAGAGGGAAACAACCCAGACCGCCAGCUAAGGUCCCAAAUUACUACUAAGUGGGAAACGAUGUGGGAAGGCUCAGACAGCCAGGAUGUUGGCUUAGAAGCAGCCAUCAUUUAAAGAAAGCGUAAUAGCUCACUGGUCGAGUCGGCCUGCGCGGAAGAUGUAACGGGGCUAAGUAGUAAACCGAAGCUGCGGCAAUAUACUUUUGUAUAUUGGGUAGGGGAGCGUUCUGUAAGCGGUUGAAGGUGUGUGGUAACGCAUGCUGGACGUAUCAGAAGUGCGAAUGCUGACAUGAGUAACGAUAAAGGGGGUGAAAAACCUCCUCGCCGGAAGACCAAGGGUUCCUGUCCAACGUUAAUCGGGGCAGGGUAAGUCGACCCCUAAGGCGAGGCCGAAAGGCGUAGUCGAUGGGAAACGGGUUAAUAUUCCCGUACUUCUUACAAUUGCGAUGGGGGGACGGAGAAGGCUAGGUGGGCCUGGCGACGGUUGUCCAGGUUCAAGUGCGUAGGCUUGAGAGUUAGGUAAAUCCGGCUCUU